This 253-nucleotide ribosomal RNA is filed under the name uncultured bacterium. Its description in RNAcentral is "partial 16S ribosomal RNA". It matches the Rfam family "Bacterial small subunit ribosomal RNA", at positions 524 to 776 of the family's 1533-position model. The record is from RNAcentral.
UACGUAGGGUGCAGGCGUUAAUCGGAAUUACUGGGCGUAAAGCGUGCGCAGGCGGUUUGCUAAGACAGGUGUGAAAUCCCCGGGCUUAACCUGGGAACUGCGCUUGUAACUGGCAAGCUUGAGUGUGGCAGAGGGGGGUGGAAUUCCGCGUGUAGCAGUGAAAUGCGUAGAGAUGCGGAGGAACACCGAUGGCGAAGGCAGCCCCCUGGGCUAGCACUGACGCUCAGGCACGAAAGCGUGGGGAGCAAACAGG